Misgurnus anguillicaudatus (oriental weatherfish) is the source of this 2989-nucleotide non-coding RNA. The record is from RefSeq and is a predicted model, not a curated record. Lineage: Eukaryota; Metazoa; Chordata; Actinopteri; Cypriniformes; Cobitidae.
GUGGGGGGUGAAAUUUGUCAGACGCAGGAAAGCGCACAUCAGUACUGCGAUUCGAGGUACAGUAUAACGCAGAGAUCACAUUACGCUUUUCAUAUUUUCUGCGCAACAGACUGCGUUGAACAUUUAUACAUGACAUAAAACAUAUAAACACAAUGUAACUACGCAUAAUAACAAUGCAUUCAACUUUACAACCACACGAGGAUGGAAUAAUAAUUAUCUGAAGGUAGCUGGGAAUGUUUAGAAUCAUGUCAAUUUUAUCAUUGUUUGCGUUAUUGUUUAGCUUCAUUAAUGAGUGCAUGAAAACACCAAUUACAACAGCCAACAAACUUGGAAACUUCAACCAAGGUGCGUAAUUAAGUUUUCCUAUACACUUCUGUAUUGCGCGCUAGCCUUGCAACGCUAACAACCAACUAUGAGAUAUGUUUCAUACGUUUAUACCGCUAACAUUUCACAGAAUCAUUCAGCAAAACAUCUUUAUUUAGGGACAGCAUAUGCUGCACAUCAGCAGUGUUGUGUGCGCUGCGCGCUACGCGCCAAAACACCCCCGUCGUUUGAGAAUGGACUCAUCCACUUACUGUAGGAUCUAAGGAGUUUGGUGCAGUGUCCAAUGAAAGCGUACUACAUUGAACCGCGCAGUCUAUUGGUUAAAAGAAUGAUCAAUCAUUAAUUUAUCACUCGAUACGCAGCCAUAAAUGAAGAAAAGCUGGAAUAAAAUAUUGUAAUCUGGAGGAAAAUGUUAGAAUUGUUUUGUUAAAAACCCUCUUUCUAUUCUACUGAAACACACAGAACACACACAAAUACAAGGUGUGAACUCUUUAAUUAUGAAAAACUGUUUAUUGAAUAAUUGUCACCUAUAUUAAAUACACGUUCAAAUUUAAGAUUUUAUGUUACAAGGUGCCAACAUAAUUUGGCCAUUACAGUAACUUACUAACUUACUGUUAAUUCCAAGGCGUAAAUUAAACUUUUCCCAAGCAUUACAGUUACCUAAAGGUCCAAUAGUCAGUAAAGUGAUGUCCAUUGCUUUCCUUUUAGUUCUGACAAUUUGGAGAAGUGAAUAUUGUGUUCUGGUCGAUUUCAAGAAACAUCUCCCUAAUUAAAAGUACCUUUCUACUUUCACAGACAUGCUGUUAGCAUAUAAUACAUAUAUAAUACACACCCCACAUAAACUAAAAUUAAAGCUGAAUAAGUUGCUUCAAACAUACAUUGCACAACUGUGGGCGAUACAAUCGACCCGGGGACAAGGUGUAUGAAGUGUGUCUGAUGUGCAUCUGUCAUCGAUCAGAAACGAUUAAUGGAAGGAUCAGUGUCUUAUCACACAACCCUCGGCUUCCGCGCAAAAGCAGCGGCAGGAUCCGUCGCGCACAUUUACAGGCAUGAAAUUACUAUCAAAUCCCCAAAGCGCUCGGCAAACGAAGGGUGCGCGCUGCACGGGUGUGGGAUCUGAUUUGGACUUAAACACAAAUGAAAGGAGGAUGCAUGCAACAGAUACAUAACUAACCCAACGCCUUACACUACAGAUAAACGUGCAUGCAUGCGCGAAAUGAAACAAGCGGCUGUGCUAAAGAAGUCAAACGGAGGUCAUCCUUUAUAUCCCCCCGCAGCAAUCUCAAAACAGGGGCCAGUCUGCAGUGAACCCUGCCUUCUCCACCUCUGACAACUGCCUGAAACUUACAAGACUAUCGGGAAUGGGUAAGACGCACUGGGAUAACACAGUACGCUAUUAACUUUUCUUGAUCUAGCAACUGCGUGGAUAUAAUGCUCUGUUAACACAUGUUUUAAGUACUUAUCAAGUGUAACUUAAUGUUUAUAUAUAUAUAUUUAAACAUUCGUUUAGCAACUUACGUUUCCAUUGUCUUAUAUAAGUGCAGAAUAAAGACGCAGUAGACAACUGCACAGUUUAACAAAAUUAGAGAAUUAUUAGGAUAUUUGUUAUUACGUUAUAAAAAGGUUUAGUUAAAAGGCUAAAAUUGAUCUUGGAACUAUAAACGCAUCAUGAAUUUAACACAAAGAAUAUAUAUGAAUAAUAUGACAUUGCUAAACUAAACAAGAAACUUUUCUUAUAAAUUAUAAAGAUUACGUAAAUUAACAACGGGUCUAAAUUGCGGCCGUCAAUUUAUAAUCACAGUUAAUCGGAGACUCAAACGACGUCUUAACAUAAAUAUUAUGCUAGAGGUAAAGUAACAAUAAUGUUUUAAUUUACUAGAUUGUUAUGAGUUAAAUCGGUAUAAAGAAAGCGCUAUUUUGACAAUGAGUAAUUUGUUUUACUACUACUAAUUUUUGCACAAUAUAAUCUUAAUUAAAAAAAAACGACGUACGUUUGAUUUCACUUUGUGAUUUUAUUUUGUUUGCCCUUAUUUUGUUACUUGUAAUUAUUUUGUUUUAUUUUUAUUUAAUUUGCAAAAAAAACAUUAUUAAGCAAGUAACUCAAUGCAGGUCUAUUGCAUUUAAAAUAAUGUAAACUACUGAAAAAAAAAACAUAUUUUCAUAUGUGAAGACUUUCAGUGACCUGUAUGCUUGAUCAUGUGCGCCUUCUACUGGAUACAUACAGAAUUUUCCUUCUUUAUGUUUUAAUGAGAGCCGUAACUACUUUUAUAAAAUGUACAAAAUAGGCGAAUUACAGCAUCAAUGCGGCUUUACUUUAAAAUAAUUGUUAAAAUAACCAAUUAUGUUACACUGAUAUUAUUAUUUAAUUAUGUCGUGUCGGAUACUGUGUAUUAACUAAUAAAUAAUUAAAACUACAAGUUUAGUUAGAUGUCAAUAUCGUUAAAAUAUUAAAAUCUAGACAUUUUUAUUUCUAGAAGUUUUAAAUCUAAAUAAAUAAAUAAAUCUAAAAAAUCCCCGUUGACCUCUUUCAGUUUUGCCUUUUAUUUUUCGGCCAUAGCGCCUAAAUUGAUUAAGAAUGUUAAGAAAACAAACAUUUUAUGAAGCAUUUUAACAAUAUUUUAAAAGCAUGAUAAAACUAUAAACUAAAUGUAAUUUAAAUUAUUUA